Molecule: ribosomal RNA, 253 nt
Filed under: uncultured bacterium
Lineage: Bacteria
Description: partial 16S ribosomal RNA
Rfam family: Bacterial small subunit ribosomal RNA
Source: RNAcentral
UACGGAAGGGGCUAGCGUUUUUCGGAAUUACUGGGCGUAAAGAGCGCGUAGGCGGCUUACCAAGUUGGGGGUGAAAUCCCGGAGCUCAACUCCGGAACUGGCUUCAAGACUGGUAGGCUCGAGUCCGGAAGAGGGGCGUGGAAUUCCCAGUGUAGAGGUGAAAUUCGUAGAUAUUGGGAAGAACACCGGUGGCGAAGGCGGCGCCCUGGUCCGGUACUGACGCUGAGGCGCGGAAGCGUGGGGAGCAAACAGG